AUUGAACGCUGGCGGCAGGCCUAACACAUGCAAGUCGAACGAGUGGCGGACGGGUGAGUAAUGUCUGGGAAACUGCCUGAUGGAGGGGGAUAACUACUGGAAACGGUAGCUACUACCGCAUACCAUCAGAUGUUCCCAGAUGGGAUUAGCUUGUUGGUGGGGUAACGGCCCACCAAGGCGACGAUACCUAGCUGGUCUGGGAGGAUGACCACCCAAACGGGAGCGUAGACACGGUCCAGACUCCUACGGGAUGCAGCAGUGUGGAACAUUGCACAAUGGGCGCAAGCCUGAUGCAGCCAUGCCGCGUGUAUGAAGAAGGCCUUCGGGGUGUAAAGUACUUUCAGCGGGGAGGCGUUACCCGCAGAAGAAGCACCGGCUAACUCCGUGCCAGCAGCCGCGGUAAUUC
RNAcentral lists this ribosomal RNA (406 nucleotides) under uncultured bacterium. Its description in RNAcentral is "partial 16S ribosomal RNA". It matches the Rfam family "Bacterial small subunit ribosomal RNA", at positions 30 to 526 of the family's 1533-position model. The record is from RNAcentral.